CAGUCGCCGCGGGAACACGUAGGGUGCGAGCGUUAAUCGGAAUUACUGGGCGUAAAGCGUGCGCAGGCGGUUCGUUAAGACAGAUGUGAAAUCCCCGGGCUUAACCUGGGAACUGCAUUUGUGACUGGCGAGCUAGAGUAUGGCAGAGGGGGGUAGAAUUCCACGUGUAGCAGUGAAAUGCGUAGAGAUGUGGAGGAAUACCGAUGGCGAAGGCAGCCCCCUGGGCCAAUACUGACGCUCAUGCACGAAAGCGUGGGGAGCAAACAGAAUUAGAUACCCCGGUAGUCCCUGUCUCUUAUAC
RNAcentral lists this ribosomal RNA (301 nucleotides) under uncultured bacterium. RNAcentral's name for it is "partial 16S ribosomal RNA". It matches the Rfam family "Bacterial small subunit ribosomal RNA", at positions 509 to 807 of the family's 1533-position model. The record is from RNAcentral.